UGGGGCGGGUAUAGAAGUGGUCAAAAUCAAGCAGAGUUGUGAAGAACCCUUAGGUACAACAGAGUAUGCAGCCGAGAGACAGCUCAGACAGUCACCCUGUCUAGCUUGUCAAUAGCAGGAAAGAUGGUAAGAGGGCCAGCCAGAGCGUGAGUGACAAGUGACACGCUCUUAAGCUCCUGCAUUUGUUCUCUCAAGGUCAGGCCUGUGAGCGGUGGCUGGCACCUUCUCAAGAGCCUGCUGAUGUACAAUCAUCUUACCUGCUUCACAGACGAAGAAACUGCGGUUCAGAGAGGACCCUCACAGGUGUGUGAACAUCCAGAAGUCAGCAUGGUUCUAAUUUCUACCUGGCGGUUGGUAUGAAGAAUUUUAAACUGAGAAACGUGUCAGCUCCGGGUCUCUCUCCCUUUCUCCCCAGUGUCAUGGCUUCUGGAGGUCUGCUCUCUCUGGGGGUGUGAAACCUCGGCAGACAGCAGAAGAACCCAACCACAUGGACAGUCUGACUCUAGCUUUUGGCCUCAUCAUCCACUUCAUGACUUCUAACCAACUGCCCAUUUUUACAUGCCUUCCUGUCUGUGAAUGAAGAGUUAUUACAGGAACCUCCAAAUGAAAUAGAAGUCAGCAAGUGAACGCUUGUUGAAUCCUGGCUGACCUCAAACUCACAGAGAUCCACCUACCUCUGCCUCCCUUGCACCGGGAUUAAAGUGUGCACCACUGUGUCUGGCUCAGACUUACACCUUGAGGGGCUCAGAAAACAGAAUUUUUGUGUAAAAUAACAGAAAACAUUCAAAUAAAUGGGAUUUGCUUGUAGUUCUACCAAUUUCAAAAUUGA
Molecule: long non-coding RNA, 829 nt
Organism: Myodes glareolus (Bank vole)
Lineage: Eukaryota; Metazoa; Chordata; Mammalia; Rodentia; Cricetidae
Source: RefSeq, a predicted model, not a curated record